UGGUGGAGUGAUUUGUCUGGUUAAUUCCGUUAACGAACGAGACCUCAGCUUGCUUUAUAGUGCUGCGAAUGGUUUUUCAUUCGUAUAUUUUUGCACUUCAAAGAGGGACAUUUCGGUUUAACCGGAAGGAAGUUUGAGGCAAUAACA
RNAcentral lists this ribosomal RNA (147 nucleotides) under uncultured eukaryote. Its description in RNAcentral is "partial 18S ribosomal RNA". It matches the Rfam family "Eukaryotic small subunit ribosomal RNA", at positions 1299 to 1458 of the family's 1831-position model. The record is from RNAcentral.